Molecule: ribosomal RNA, 498 nt
Filed under: uncultured bacterium
Lineage: Bacteria
Description: partial 16S ribosomal RNA
Rfam family: Bacterial small subunit ribosomal RNA
Source: RNAcentral
AUUGAACGCUGGCGGCAUGCUUUACACAUGCAAGUCGAACGGUAACAGGCCGCAAGGUGCUGACGAGUGGCGAACGGGUGAGUAAUGCAUCGGAACGUGCCCAGUCGUGGGGGAUAACGCAGCGAAAGCUGUGCUAAUACCGCAUACGAUCUAUGGAUGAAAGCGGGGGACCGUAAGGCCUCGAGCGAUUGGAGCGGCCGAUGUCGGAUUAGCUAGUUGGUGGGGUAAAGGCCCACCAAGGCGACGAUCGGUAGAUGGGCUGAGAGGACGACCAGCCACACGGGGACUGAGACACGGCCCAGACUCCAACGGGAGGCAGCAGUGGGGAAUUUUGGACAAUGGGCGCAAGCCUGAUCCAGCAAUGCCGCGUGCAGGAAGAAGGCCUUCGGGUUGUAAACUGCUUUUGUACGGAACGAAACGGUCUGGGUUAAUACCCUGGGCUAAUGACGGUACCGUAAGAAUAAGCACCGGCUAACUACGUGCCAGCCGCCGCGGUAA